RNAcentral lists this transfer RNA (72 nucleotides) under Caudoviricetes sp. Its description in RNAcentral is "tRNA-Ser". The record is from RNAcentral. Lineage: Duplodnaviria; Heunggongvirae; Uroviricota; Caudoviricetes.
GUCGAUAUCAGGCCGUUAUUUACUUCGUUCGGGACGAAGAGGCCGUGGGUUCGAGUCCCGUCACCUCGACCA